GUGUGAGUUCAUGUAUUGAUUCAAUUAUUGAUUCAGCCAUCCUAGCUGGAUUGCUGCUUCAAGUGCCGAGGAAAGAGGAUUAGUUUCUUCUUUCUUUUUCCUCCAUCCUUGUUGUUCUUUUAGCUUGCUGAAAGAGAGAGUUGCUCAUUCUUUCAGUUUGCCGAAGGAAGUUCGUGCAUUCAUCAUAUAGAGUUAAUCAAGAACCUAACCGAACAUAGACAAGC
This 224-nucleotide long non-coding RNA is filed under the name Amborella trichopoda. RNAcentral describes it as "long non-coding RNA (ATRI_LNC001506)". The record is from RNAcentral. Lineage: Eukaryota; Viridiplantae; Streptophyta; Magnoliopsida; Amborellales; Amborellaceae.